GGAGCCUGUGAUGAGCUAAAGUUAUCCCUGUCUGAAUACAGCUGUGGAAUAUAUUACCUCUGAAGGCUCA
Molecule: small nucleolar RNA, 70 nt
Organism: Paramormyrops kingsleyae
Lineage: Eukaryota; Metazoa; Chordata; Actinopteri; Osteoglossiformes; Mormyridae
Product: small nucleolar RNA R38
Source: RefSeq, a predicted model, not a curated record